CUAUGAGCCGCUACAUUCCCACCACACACACUUCCUCCAGGAGCUCGAGGAGAGACUAUCACUGUGGGAAGGCCAAUGCAAUAUGCAGGUUAAAGGAGAAAUCCAGCGAUUAGGAGACCUGCUGCUGAAGAGUGUACAGGAGCUGAAGGCUCUCUCAGCACAGCUGGAGAUGAGCUCAGAGUGUGUGUUUGCUCUGGAGAGGGCAUGUGUCGCGUCCCGCAGGCUGGAGUGUGUGUGUUUACGUGAGUUUGAACUGCAGAAGGUGUGUUACA
Cyprinus carpio (common carp) is the source of this 272-nucleotide long non-coding RNA. RefSeq lists it as uncharacterized. Lineage: Eukaryota; Metazoa; Chordata; Actinopteri; Cypriniformes; Cyprinidae. The transcript has 3 exons. The record is from RefSeq and is a predicted model, not a curated record.